CGUCCAACUUUAGCACACCUUCACAAGGGGGAAGUCGUAGGUUCGAUUCCUGCUGUGCCCACCA
Molecule: transfer RNA, 64 nt
Filed under: Tunturiibacter gelidiferens
Lineage: Bacteria; Pseudomonadati; Acidobacteriota; Terriglobia; Terriglobales; Acidobacteriaceae
Description: tRNA-Val
Source: RNAcentral